This 708-nucleotide ribosomal RNA is filed under the name Peptostreptococcus anaerobius. RNAcentral's name for it is "bacterial SSU rRNA". It matches the Rfam family "Bacterial small subunit ribosomal RNA", at positions 61 to 780 of the family's 1533-position model. The record is from RNAcentral. Lineage: Bacteria; Bacillati; Bacillota; Clostridia; Peptostreptococcales; Peptostreptococcaceae.
GUCGAGCGCGUCUGAUUUGAUGCUUGCAUUGAUGAAAGAUGAGCGGCGGACGGGUGAGUAACGCGUGGGUAACCUGCCCUAUACACAUGGAUAACAUACUGAAAAGUUUACUAAUACAUGAUAAUAUAUAUUUACGGCAUCGUAGAUAUAUCAAAGUGUUAGCGGUAUAGGAUGGACCCGCGUCUGAUUAGCUAGUUGGUGAGAUAACUGCCCACCAAGGCGACGAUCAGUAGCCGACCUGAGAGGGUGAUCGGCCACAUUGGAACUGAGACACGGUCCAAACUCCUACGGGAGGCAGCAGUGGGGAAUAUUGCACAAUGGGCGCAAGCCUGAUGCAGCAACGCCGCGUGAACGAUGAAGGUCUUCGGAUCGUAAAGUUCUGUUGCAGGGGAAGAUAAUGACGGUACCCUGUGAGGAAGCCCCGGCUAACUACGUGCCAGCAGCCGCGGUAAUACGUAGGGGGCUAGCGUUAUCCGGAUUUACUGGGCGUAAAGGGUGCGUAGGUGGUCUUUCAAGUCGGUGGUUAAAGGCUACGGCUCAACCGUAGUUAGCCUCCGAAACUGGAAGACUUGAGUGCAGGAGAGGAAAGUGGAAUUCCCAGUGUAGCGGUGAAAUGCGUAGAUAUUGGGAGGAACACCAGUAGCGAAGGCGGCUUUCUGGACUGCAACUGACACUGAGGCACGAAAGCGUGGGUAGCAAACAGGAUUA